Molecule: long non-coding RNA, 727 nt
Organism: Setaria italica (foxtail millet)
Lineage: Eukaryota; Viridiplantae; Streptophyta; Magnoliopsida; Poales; Poaceae
Exons: 2
Source: RefSeq, a predicted model, not a curated record
UCGUCCCCAAACGCACCACCCCAGCUCCAGCUCCAGGCUCCAGCUCCAAUGGCGCCGCCGCAUCAAUCGCCCCCUUCCUCUCCUUCCCCGCGGUACCCUCUCCGCGUCCAACGCUAUGUGUGCCCCCGCCGGGACCGCUUCGUUCGCCGGGAGCUGGCGGCGGCGCCGGUUCGCCGGCCGCCGCGGGCUGAAUGAGGAGCGGCGGGAACGGCGCGGAGCCCUCCGGCGCUACCGCGCUUCCCUCCACCACGAAUCUGGCUGGGGGACGCGCGCGCCGCUGCGAAAUGGCGGGGGCGCGCGCCCCGUCCGCAGGUCAGCCGGGGCGCCGAGGCCGAGCCCGCGGUGAUACAAUCAUACAAGCAGCAGAAAGGACCCCAACGAUUUCGGUAGCUGACUUCGCACGGCACGAAGGUGGAGGUGGAUAGUCAGAUAAGAUUCCGCACAGCAGCCCCUGGAGUUUUCAAACUUGCCUGCCGCCUCAACUGAAAUGAAAACGGCCACCACGCUGAUCACACGCCCAUAUUGUAGGGAUUUGGCUGGGCAUUAACCAGGCCAGGCUUUGCCUAUAUGUAUCGUCAUGUAACCUGUUGCAUAAACAUCGAUUGCUGCAUAUACUGUUAUAUAGGACGAUACGGCUAUGCCUAAACAAAGCAAUGGCAUGCGUCACCAUUGUACUGUUUGCUUGAUUUAUGGGCAUGCAUCACCAUUGCACUGUUUGCUUGCUUUA